AGCUGGUUUGAUGGUAGUGGGUUAUCAGAACUUACUAAUGUUAGUGUCACUAAAGUUGGUAUACAACCCCCCACUGCUAAAUUUGGCUUUAA
This 92-nucleotide Y RNA is filed under the name Saimiri boliviensis boliviensis (Bolivian squirrel monkey). Its description in RNAcentral is "Y RNA (ENSSBOG00000013142.1)". It matches the Rfam family "Y RNA". Rfam says of the family: Y RNAs are components of the Ro ribonucleoprotein particle (Ro RNP), in association with Ro60 and La proteins. Lineage: Eukaryota; Metazoa; Chordata; Mammalia; Primates; Cebidae. The record is from Rfam by way of RNAcentral.